UAAGUUUGAUCCUGGCUCCGGCGAAUGCUGGCGGCGUGCUUAACACAUGCAAGUCGAACGGGCUCAUAUUGAAACCUAGUGAUUUAUGAGUUAGUGGCGGACGGGUGAGUAACGCGUGGAAAACCUGCCGUAUACUGGGGGAUAACACUUAGAAAUAGGUGCUAAUACCGCAUAAGCGCACAGCUUCGCAUGAAGUGGUGUGAAAAACUCUGGUGGUAUACGAUGGUUCCGCGUCUGAUUAGCUUGUUGGUGGGGUAAUGGCUCACCAAGGCGACGAUCAGUAGCCGGCCUGAGAGGGUGAACGGCCACAUUGGGACUGAGACACGGCCCAAACUCCUACGGGAGGCAGCAGUGGGGAAUAUUGCACAAUGGGGGAAACCCUGAUGCAGCGACGCCGCGUGAGUGAAGAAGUAUUUCGGUAUGUAAAGCUCUAUCAGCAGGGAAGAAAUAGCGACCUUUGGGUCGCCAGACGGUACCUGAUUAAGAAGCCCCGGCUAACUACGUGCCAGCAGCCGCGGUAAUACGUAGGGGGCAAGCGUUAUCCGGAUUUACUGGGUGUAAAGGGAGCGUAUGCGGCAGCGCACGUCUGAAGUGAAAUGCCGGGGCUUAACCCCGGAACUGCUUUGGAAACUGUGCAGCUAGAGUGCAGGAGAGGUAAGUGGAAUUCCUAGUGUAGCGGUGAAAUGCGUAGAUAUUAGGAGGAACACCAGUGGCGAAUGCGGCUUACUGGACUGUAACUGACGUUGAGGCUCGAAAGCGUGUGGAGCAAACAGGAUUAGAUACCCUGGUAGUCCACGCUGUAACGAUGAUUACUAGGUGUUGGGGGACCAAGUCCUUCGGUGCCGUCGCAAACGCAUUAAUUAUCCACCUGGGGAGUACGUUCGCAGAAUGAACUCAAGGAAUGACGGGACCCGCACAGCGUGGAGCAUGUGGUUAAUUCGAGCACCGAAGACCUUACUUGUCUUGACUCCGAUGACAGUGAGCAAGUCACUUUCCCUUCGGGCAUUGAAACGUUGAUGCAUGUUGUCUC
RNAcentral lists this ribosomal RNA (1030 nucleotides) under Sisymbrium irio. Its description in RNAcentral is "bacterial SSU rRNA". It matches the Rfam family "Bacterial small subunit ribosomal RNA", at positions 1 to 1055 of the family's 1533-position model. Lineage: Eukaryota; Viridiplantae; Streptophyta; Magnoliopsida; Brassicales; Brassicaceae. The record is from RNAcentral.